Long non-coding RNA from Bombina bombina (fire-bellied toad), 262 nucleotides. RefSeq lists it as uncharacterized. The record is from RefSeq and is a predicted model, not a curated record. NCBI's taxonomy places the organism in Eukaryota, Metazoa, Chordata, Amphibia, Anura, Bombinatoridae. The transcript is spliced from 2 exons.
GUUAUCUGUCACACACACGGAGCCUCAAUAAACUGAUGUGGCAGAGAGUGGCAUAACCAGGCUUGGUGUCACCCGGUGCGGUAACUCAUGGUGUGGGGAAAACAUGACAUUCCUGCAAGAGAGGAACUGAUUGCUGCAGCUCAGCCCUUGACAACUCAAGUACAUAAGGAAUCCAUCAUAUGUUUAUACUUAUGCCAUAUUCUGAUCAUCCACAAUAUAUGUAGCAAAUGCCAUUUCCUAAUAAACAAGCACCAUAGCAUAA